UACGUAGGGUGCGAGCGUUGUCCGGAAUUAUUGGGCGUAAAGAGCUUGUAGGCGGUCUGUCGCGUCUGCUGUGAAAAUCCGGGGCUCAACCCCGGACUUGCAGUGGGUACGGGCAGACUAGAGUGUGGUAGGGGAGACUGGAAUUCCUGGUGUAGCGGUGAAAUGCGCAGAUAUCAGGAGGAACACCGGUGGCGAAGGCGGGUCUCUGGGCAAUAACUGACGCUGAGGAGCGAAAGCGUGGGGAGCGAACAGG
Molecule: ribosomal RNA, 253 nt
Filed under: uncultured bacterium
Lineage: Bacteria
Description: partial 16S ribosomal RNA
Rfam family: Bacterial small subunit ribosomal RNA
Source: RNAcentral